GGCUCCGCCUGGUUUUUUAGCUUUUGACUUUUAAUCAGAGGGUCACAGGUUCGAGACCUGUACGGCCUACCA
This 72-nucleotide transfer RNA is filed under the name Dehalococcoides mccartyi 195. Its description in RNAcentral is "tRNA-Lys (TTT) (tRNA-Lys-TTT-2-1)". Lineage: Bacteria; Bacillati; Chloroflexota; Dehalococcoidia; Dehalococcoidales; Dehalococcoidaceae. The record is from RNAcentral.